This 85-nucleotide non-coding RNA is filed under the name Candidatus Omnitrophota bacterium. Its description in RNAcentral is "Omnitrophica WOR c-di-GMP sequence". It matches the Rfam family "c-di-GMP-I riboswitch aptamer". From Rfam's summary of the family: GEMM was predicted in a large-scale screen for bacterial structured RNA regulatory elements. Genes associated with GEMM are involved in a diverse array of functions, including chemotaxis regulation, signal transduction, secretion and chitin. The record is from RNAcentral. Lineage: Bacteria; Pseudomonadati; Candidatus Omnitrophota.
CGGGAAAAAAGGCUAACUAAGGGUAACCUUGGGGCGCAAAGCUACCUGUCCGCCAAUCACUAUGGCGGAUAGAGGAGCUGCCAAG